RNAcentral lists this ribosomal RNA (642 nucleotides) under Salmonella enterica. RNAcentral describes it as "partial 23S ribosomal RNA". It matches the Rfam family "Bacterial large subunit ribosomal RNA", at positions 2259 to 2895 of the family's 2925-position model. The record is from RNAcentral. Lineage: Bacteria; Pseudomonadati; Pseudomonadota; Gammaproteobacteria; Enterobacterales; Enterobacteriaceae.
UGGUGGGUAGUUUGACUGGGGCGGUCUCCUCCUAAAGAGUAACGGAGGAGCACGAAGGUUGGCUAAUCCUGGUCGGACAUCAGGAGGUUAGUGCAAUGGCAUAAGCCAGCUUGACUGCGAGCGUGACGGCGCGAGCAGGUGCGAAAGCAGGUCAUAGUGAUCCGGUGGUUCUGAAUGGAAGGGCCAUCGCUCAACGGAUAAAAGGUACUCCGGGGAUAACAGGCUGAUACCGCCCAAGAGUUCAUAUCGACGGCGGUGUUUGGCACCUCGAUGUCGGCUCAUCACAUCCUGGGGCUGAAGUAGGUCCCAAGGGUAUGGCUGUUCGCCAUUUAAAGUGGUACGCGAGCUGGGUUUAGAACGUCGUGAGACAGUUCGGUCCCUAUCUGCCGUGGGCGCUGGAGAACUGAGGGGGGCUGCUCCUAGUACGAGAGGACCGGAGUGGACGCAUCACUGGUGUUCGGGUUGUCAUGCCAAUGGCACUGCCCGGUAGCUAAAUGCGGAAGAGAUAAGUGCUGAAAGCAUCUAAGCACGAAACUUGCCCCGAGAUGAGUUCUCCCUGAGACUUUAAGUCUCCUGAAGGAACGUUGAAGACGACGACGUUGAUAGGCCGGGUGUGUAAGCGCAGCGAUGCGUUGAGCUAAC